GAUGAACGCUGGCGGCGUGCCUAAUACAUGCAAGUCGAGCGAACAGACGAGGAGCUUGCUCCUCUGACGUUAGCGGCGGACGGGUGAGUAACACGUGGAUAACCUCCCUAUAAGACUGGGAUAACUUCGGGAAACCGGAGCUAAUACCGGAUAAUAUAUUGAACCGCAUGGUUCAAUAGUGAAAGACGGUUUUGCUGUCACUUAUAGAUGGAUCCGCGCCGCAUUAGCUAGUUGGUAAGGUAACGGCUUACCAAGGCAACGAUGCGUAGCCGACCUGAGAGGGUGAUCGGCCACACUGGAACUGAGACACGGUCCAGACUCCUGCGGGAGGCAGCAGUAGGGAAUCUUCCGCAAUGGGCGAAAGCUUGACGGAGCAACGCCGCGUGAGUGAUGAAGGUCUUCGGAUCGUAAAACUCUGUUAUUAGGGAAGAACAAAUGUGUAAGUAACUAUGCACGUCUUGACGGUACCUAAUCAGAAAGCCACGGCUAACUACGUG
Molecule: ribosomal RNA, 497 nt
Filed under: uncultured bacterium
Lineage: Bacteria
Description: partial 16S ribosomal RNA
Rfam family: Bacterial small subunit ribosomal RNA
Source: RNAcentral